AGUGUUGGGAUCUCCUGGGAUGAGUGUUGGGAUCUCCUGGAUGAGCCCCCGGCCUCGCUGGGCCAGACCAGACGAGCCCUGGGCUACCACGGACCACCCUGGAUCAACCUGGGGCUGAUGGGACGGGCUUCGGGUCAGCCUGGACGAGCCUUGGGAUGUGCUGGAUGAGCCUUGGGAUGUGCUGGACGAGCCUUGGGCGACUCCGGACCACGCUGGACGUGCCACAGGUUCCCUCUGGACGAGCCUUGGGCCACACUGGAUCACACUGGACGUGCCUCAGGUCCCUCUGGAAGUGCCUUGGGCCACCCUGGACCACACUGGAUGUGCCUCAGGUCCCUCUGGAUGAGCCUUGGGCCACCCUGGCCAAGGCUUGGGCUACUCUGGACCACGCUGGAUGUGCCUCAGGUCCUACUGGCCAAGCCCUGGGCCACCCUGGCCAAGGUUUGGACAACCCUGGCCAAGGCUUGGGCCACCCUGGAUCACACUGGACAUGCCUCAGGUCCCACUGGAUGAGCCUUGGACCACCCUGGACAAGCCUUGGGCCACCCUGGACAAGCCUUGGGCCACACUGGAUCACACUGGACGUGCCUCAGGUCCCUCUGGAUGAGCCUUGGGCCACACUGGACCACGCUGGAUGUGCCUGAAGUCCCACUGGAAGCGCCUUGGACCACCCUGGCCAAGGCUUGGGCGACUCUGGAUCACGCUGGACGUGCCUUAGGUCCCUCUGGAAGUGCCUUGGACCACCCUGGCCAAGGCUUGGGCCACCCUGGCCAAGGUUUGGACCACCCUGGCCACCCUGAGGAUGUGCCUCAGGUCCCUCUGGACGAGCCUUGGGCCACACUGGAUCGUGCUGGAUGUGCCACAGGUCCCUCUGGAUGAGCCUUGGGUGACUCUGGAUCAUGCUGGAUGUGCCACAGGUCCCUUUGGAUGAGCCUUGGACCACCCUGGAUGUGCCUCAGGUCCCACUGGACGAGCCUUGGAUCACGCUGGACAUGCCUCAGGUCCCUCUGGAGAAGCCUUGGGUGACUCUGGAUCAUGCUGGAUGUGCCUCAGGUCCCUCUGGAUGAGCCUUGGACCACACUGGACGUGCCUCAGGUCCCACUGGACGAGCCUUGGGCCACCCCGGACAAGCCUUGGGCCACCCUGGAUGUGCCUCAGGUCCCACUGGAUGAGCCUUGGGUGACUCUGGACAAGCCUUGGGCCACACUGGACGUGCCUCAGGUCCCACCAGACGUGCCUCAGGUCCCUCUGGACGAGCCUUGGGUGACUCUGGAUCACGCUGGAUGUGCCUCAGGUCCCACUGGAGAAGCCCUGGGUGACUCUGGAUCACGCUGGAUGUGCCUCAGGUCCCUCUGGACGAGCCUUGGACCACCCUGGACGUGCCUCAGGUCCCUCUGGAGAAGCCUUGGGUGACUGGAUCACCCUGGAUGUGCCUCAGGUCCCACCAGACAAGCCUUAGACCACACUGGACCACGUUGGAUGUGCCUGAAGUCCCUCUGGAAGCACCUUGGACCACCCUGGCCAAGGCUUG
RNAcentral lists this long non-coding RNA (1531 nucleotides) under Manacus vitellinus (golden-collared manakin). Its description in RNAcentral is "lncRNA (ENSMVIG00005009548.1)". The record is from RNAcentral. Lineage: Eukaryota; Metazoa; Chordata; Aves; Passeriformes; Pipridae.